RNAcentral lists this ribosomal RNA (1476 nucleotides) under uncultured bacterium. RNAcentral describes it as "bacterial SSU rRNA". It matches the Rfam family "Bacterial small subunit ribosomal RNA". The record is from RNAcentral.
AGAGUUUGAUCCUGGCUCAGAGCGAACGCUAGCGGCACGCUUAACACAUGCAAGUCGAACGAAAAUGUUUACUUCGGUGAAUGUUUUAGUGGCGAACGGGUGAGUAAUACAUAGAAAUCUGCCCUUUUGAGAGGGAUAUCCAUGAGAAAUUGUGAUUAAUACCUCAUAAGCUCGAAAGAGGAAAGGCCGCAAGGCCGCUGAAGGAGGAGUCUAUGUCGGAUUAGAUAGUUGGUGGGGUAAUGGCCUACCAAGUCGAUGAUCCGUAGCUGGUUUGAGAGGAUGAUCAGCCACNCUGGGACUGAGAUACGGCCCAGACUUCUACAGAAGGCAGCAGUGAGGAAUAUUGGACAAUGGGGGAAACCCUGAUCCAGCGAUGUCGCGUGAAUGAAGAAGGCCUUUUGGUUGUAAAGUUCUUUCAUCUGCGAAGAUAAUGACGGUAGCAGAAAAAGAAGCUCCGGCUAACUCCGUGCCAGCAGCCGCGGUAAGACGGAGGGAGCAAGCGUUGCUCGGAAUAAUUGGGCGUAAAGGGUGCGUAGGUGGUUUUUUAAGUAAGAUGUUAAAGGCUUGGACUUAAUCUAAGUAAGGCAUUUUAGACUGAAAAACUUGAGUAUGGGAGAGGAAACAGGAAUUCCUCAAGUAGAGGUGAAAUUCAUAGAUAUGAGGAGGAACACCMGAGGCGAAGGCGAGUUUCUGGAACAUUACUGANCACUGAGGCACGAAAAGCGUGGGNUAGCAAAACAGGAUUAGAUACCCUGGUAGUCCACCSCCCUAAACGAUGAUUUGCUAAACCGUCCNGGGAGUWAUUUAAUCCCCCGGUGUUAAAGCUAACSCSAUAAGCAAUCCGCCUGAGUAGUACGGUCGCAAGACUAAAACUCAAAGGAAUUGACGGGGACCCGCACAAGCGGUGGAGCAUGUGGUUUAAUUCGAUAAUCCGCGAAGAACCUUACCAGCUCUUGACAUGGAGGUCGUAGCUUUAUGAGAGUAAAGCGUCGGUUUGGCCGGACCUCGCACAGGUGGUGCAUGGCUGUCGUCAGCUCGUGUCGUGAGAUUUUGGGUUAAGUCCUUUAACGGGCGCAACCCCUAUUUCUAGUUGCUAACAGGUUAUGCUGAGAACUUUAGAAAGACUGCCAGUGAUAAACUGGAGGAAGGUGGGGAUGAUGUCAAAUCCUCAUGCCCCUUAUGAGCUGGGCUACACAUGUGCUACAAUGGCGGCCACAAUGGGUUGCAAAGAGGUGACUCUGAGCCAAUCCCCAAAAGCCGUCUCAGUUCGGAUUGUUCUCUGCAACUCGAGAACAUGAAGUUGGAAUCGCUAGUAAUCGCUGAUCAGCACGCAGCGGUGAAUACGUUCACGGGUCUUGUACACACCGCCCGUCAAGCCAUGGGAAUUGGUUUCACCUAAAGAUGAUGAGCUAACCUUCGGGAGGCAGUUAUUUAAGGUGGGAUUGGUGACUGGGGUUAAGUCGUAACAAGGUAACC